GAUCAUGGUCAGGAUGAACGCUAGCUACAGGCUUAACACAUGCAAGUCGAGGGGAAACGACAUCGAAAGCUUGCUUUUGAUGGGCGUCGACCGGCGCACGGGUGAGUAACGCGUAUCCAACCUGCCCACCACUUGGGGAUAACCUUGCGAAAGUAAGACUAAUACCCAAUGAUAUCUCUAGAAGACAUCUGAAAUGGAUUAAAGAUUUAUCGGUGAUGGAUGGGGAUGCGUCUGAUUAG
Molecule: ribosomal RNA, 239 nt
Filed under: uncultured bacterium
Lineage: Bacteria
Description: partial 16S ribosomal RNA
Rfam family: Bacterial small subunit ribosomal RNA
Source: RNAcentral